Molecule: long non-coding RNA, 284 nt
Filed under: Elaeis guineensis (African oil palm)
Lineage: Eukaryota; Viridiplantae; Streptophyta; Magnoliopsida; Arecales; Arecaceae
Description: long non-coding RNA (EGUI_LNC007424)
Source: RNAcentral
AUGAUUCCUGCAUCUAGCCAUUUCACUACUUUUUUCUUUACCACCUCUGAUAUGUUUGGAUUCAGUCUCCAUUGUAUAUCCCUAUAUGGUUUGGCUUCUACCUCAUAGUAAAUAUGGUGUAUGCAGAUGGAGGGAUCAAUACCUUUUACAUCAGCAAUCAUCCAACCAAUGGCCUCUUUGUACUCUUUCAGUACAUCUAUGAGCUGGGCUUCCUGGUCAGUGGUUAAGUUAGAGGCAAUGAUUACUGAGAGGGUAUCAUUGGGUCAGAGAAAUAUAUACUUCAA